UAUGAAGGCAGAGGCUGGGGGAGGCAAGAGUCUUAGCCUUGAGUCUGGUCUCAGAGUUUCUGCUUCCAGAUGCACUUUCUCUGGCCUCAGAACAUGGAGUGCUACCUUCAAGCAGGAAGAAAAUAAACCAUCGUGAUUUCUUUUAACAGCUUCAAUAACCAACAUGACAUUGUGAAGGACGUGCCAAUAUUUGUAAUCUCCCCUGACAAGUUGUUAAGUAUUUAUAGAAACAUUUUCUCCUGGCCCUGCUUAAGGAAAGUACUGUAUCUAAUUUCCUCUGGAGACAUGUGCUGGGGAAAAUCAGAAGGAUGAUCUGUCAUCAUAAAUAGCAAUAAAUAGUCGCCCUGGAAGAUUUGCUUGUUUAGCGAGGUUGCUUGAAUAUUAACAUCUCCCUUUAAUCUUGUCUCUGUGGGGAAAAGUUCAUGACAUAAGUAUGUGCUGAGCUCCAGGUUUGAGGGAAGCUCAAGGCUGGAGGUUGGUGACCUCUGAAGUCUGGAUCAGUCUGGGAAAACUCAGGACUGAAUUGGCCAAGCUCCAUCCUCAUGAGGGUUCCUCAGGGAACCGACAUCAGCUCCAACGAUGGAGCACACUGAUGGCAUCCUGGUGCUCAGAAGCUGGAUGAGAAGUUUGCAGUGUAAUGAGCUCCCCAUCACUUGUGGUAUACAAGCAACGAUUUGCUGCUUGCCUCUUGAUGCUGCUGAAGAUGAAAUCCAAAGUUCAGGGAUGAGGUUCCAACUUCUAUGCUUAUCAACAUAGAUCAAGCUGAGAACCCAGAGGAACAAACGAGGCUCAUGAACCAGAGACCUGAGCUGAUUUCUUGGUUAUUCUAGAUUGCUCUUUGGGAGAUUUCAGUCCAUGGUAUGGGGACAGUGCAAUGGGCUGGACGUUUGUGCCAACUUCAUACAUUGGAACUCUGCCUGUGUGGCUCUGCCUGGAGAUGGGGACUUUGGGAAGCAUUUGGAUCAGACAAUAGUGCUCCCCUGUAGAGAUGGGGCCCUUGUAAGAAGAGAAGAGAUGACUCGUUUCCUCUCAGAAUCUGGUGCCAUAUAAGGACACAGCAAGAAUCCAAGAAUCUGUGCCCACUGAAAUCUCUCUGAAAUCCCACCACCUAUCACUGUAAGAUCAGUCGCCCCAGCCUUCAGAAUGCGCCCUUCAGGUAAAUCACAUGUCCUGAGUGUCCUGGCCACUGUCACAGACUCCACAGACCAAUGGACCCUGCGAUCCCUAUGUUUUGUUGACCCAGUAAGAUCCCAGCUACUCUUGAUGGAAGCCAGUGGUGAUAAAAGUGAAUUCAGCUUCUUUGGUUUCGUUUGGUUUCCUGUCCUACUGUGAAGCAUCGAGAAGGCCAUUACUAGAGAACAGACUUCGAGGACUCCAGAAUCACAAGCUAAGACCACGGCUGUCUUCUUCUGGAGGCAGAUAGGAAGAAGAAGUUCAAGGUCUGAUCUGUCAUCUAACACCCUUGGCAAACCUCUCCCAAGAGGGAUCCCUAAAGAAAUGCUGCUCCUUUCUCUGAGUCACUGAAGACAUUUGGGGAUAAUUGGAUACCCAGCUUUGGGGCACCAAGUGGGCAGCUGGUGUUCACCUCCCCGAGGACCAUGCCAAGCUGGCAGGAAUCUGGUUCAUUGCUCUGUAAGUGAUUGCAGUGGGAGAGGAAAGAACAUGCCAUUCGCUCCA
Molecule: long non-coding RNA, 1677 nt
Filed under: Mus musculus (house mouse)
Lineage: Eukaryota; Metazoa; Chordata; Mammalia; Rodentia; Muridae
Description: predicted gene, 33351
Source: RNAcentral